GUUGGCGUAGCUCAGUGGUAGAGUGCAUGCUGUGUAUGUAUGAUGUCCUGGGUUUAAUCCCGAGCUUCUCCC
Molecule: non-coding RNA, 72 nt
Organism: Dallia pectoralis (Alaska blackfish)
Lineage: Eukaryota; Metazoa; Chordata; Actinopteri; Esociformes; Umbridae
Source: the annotation of a GenBank genome assembly